UCCGGCUUGUCACCGGCAGUCCCACUAGAGUGCCCAACUGAAUGAUGGCAACUAAUGGCGAGGGUUGCGCUCGUUGCGGGACUUAACCCAACAUCUCACGACACGAGCUGACGACAGCCAUGCAGCACCUGUGUGUCGGCUCCCUUUCGGGCACACCCAGCUCUCACCGGGCUUCCGACCAUGUCAAGGGUAGGUAAGGUUUUUCGCGUUGCAUCGAAUUAAUCCACAUCAUCCACCGCUUGUGCGGGUCCCCGUCAAUUCCUUUGAGUUUUAAUCUUGCGACCGUACUCCCCAGGCGGAUGACUUCACGCGUUAGCUGCGUUACUAAAGGAUUUAACUCCUCCAACAACUAGUCAUCAUCGUUUAGGGCGUGGACUAC
This 379-nucleotide unclassified non-coding RNA is filed under the name uncultured Gammaproteobacteria bacterium. RNAcentral's name for it is "contains 16S-23S intergenic spacer region". The record is from RNAcentral. Lineage: Bacteria; Pseudomonadati; Pseudomonadota; Gammaproteobacteria.